This 500-nucleotide ribosomal RNA is filed under the name uncultured bacterium. Its description in RNAcentral is "partial 16S ribosomal RNA". It matches the Rfam family "Bacterial small subunit ribosomal RNA", at positions 30 to 523 of the family's 1533-position model. The record is from RNAcentral.
AUUGAACGCUGGCGGAAUGCUUUACACAUGCAAGUCGAACGGCAGCACGGACUUCGGUCUGGGGGCGAGGGGCGAACGGGGAAGUAAUGUAUCGGAACGUGCCCAGUCGUGGGGGAUAACGUAGUGAAAAUUACGCUAAUACCGCAUACGAUCUAUGGAUGAAAGCGGGGGAUCGCAAGACCUUGCGCGAUUGGACCGGCCGAUAUCAGAUUAGGUAGUUGGUGGGGUAAAGGCCCGCCAAGCCAACGAUCUGUAGCGGGUCUGAGAGGACGACCAGCCACACUGGAACUGAGACACGGUCCAGACUCCUACGGGAGGCAGCAGUGGGGAAUUUUGGACAAUGGGCGAAAGCCUGAUCCAGCCAUUCCGCGUGCAGGAUGAAGGCCCUCGGGUUGUAAACUGCUUUUGUACAGAACGAAAAGGUUUCUACUAAUACUAGGAGCUCAUGACGGUACUGUAAGAAUAAGCACCGGCUAACUACGUGCCAGCCGCCGCGGUAA